This 30-nucleotide non-coding RNA is filed under the name Macaca fascicularis (crab-eating macaque). RNAcentral also lists the same sequence under 4 other names. The record is from RNAcentral. Lineage: Eukaryota; Metazoa; Chordata; Mammalia; Primates; Cercopithecidae.
UAACCCAGAGGUCGAUGGAUCGAAACCAUC